AGAUAUUGGUCCGGUUCAAUA
This 21-nucleotide microRNA is filed under the name Corchorus capsularis. RNAcentral's name for it is "sRNA CCACVL1_01263". Lineage: Eukaryota; Viridiplantae; Streptophyta; Magnoliopsida; Malvales; Malvaceae. The record is from RNAcentral.